RNA transcript from Cucurbita moschata (crookneck pumpkin), 1582 nucleotides. RefSeq lists it as uncharacterized. The transcript has 2 exons. The record is from RefSeq and is a predicted model, not a curated record. NCBI's taxonomy places the organism in Eukaryota, Viridiplantae, Streptophyta, Magnoliopsida, Cucurbitales, Cucurbitaceae.
CGCUUAUCAUAGAUAAUCAUUGAAGGCAAGUGGGUAGUUUGGUCAGUCACUCCUUUGGCUUCUUCUCCUUCAAGCUUCCACCAAUUUUGAUCAGAGCGUCGAUCCUUCCGGCAACACCUGCACGUGACGACAACUUCCACCGGCGUCUUCUUCAAUAGCUGCAUUCAUGACUUGCUACCUCUGCAAUGGCUGGUGACCCGUUCUGCAGGCGCCACUCGCCGGAGCGGACUCAAGUCUGAACAUCCUCACGAUUCCGGCGAUUUUCAACGGUUAUUUCUCUCCUUCGUUGAUUUUCGGUAAUGAUCUAUGCUCAAUGGACCUUUGAUUUACAUUUCCCCCUCCCUAACGACUUCGAAUCUACGGGUCUUUUUCGGUAAGAUUCAGUGAGUAAGAACGCUCUAAACUCCUUUCGAACUCUUCCAAGUGUUGUGGCUUAGAUUCUAACCCUUAGAACUUUUAUAUUUGUAGUAUUGGAUGGAUAACGGACUCAUUUGAACACUUUUCAGCAAGGAUUGUUGUCCGUUUUGUUUAAGUUGCAUGUUUAGAAUCAUUCAAGCUCGACAUGAUCAAUCUUGAUUCUUGUGGAGUGAUUCAAAUCUUCAACAAAUAUUCUUAUAUUGAGAUAUUCAAUCUAAAUUUAAGAAGACUGUAAAUUAUAACAAACAAACGAAAGUAUGAAGAGCCACUGCAAAAAAAAAUGAGUACAGUACAUGCCCAUUAUGAUUGAGCUUGUUUAGGCUAAAAAUGUAAAAACUGGUGAAGAGCCACUUCAGCUAUAUGUGGUUCCUGAACCUAUCUUUGUUGAUGCUGCCAUCUUUAUUUCGUAGAUCUAAUGACUCCUUACUACACAACUGCCAGAGCCUGCCUCAAGGAACAAAGAGAUGGCUACGGCUGCUGCACAGGAAAGACCCAGGUUUUGUGAAGUUCACUUGAAUGAUAGAACGAAGGCCAUGAAGGCGAAGCCGCAUGCCAGCCAAGGAAUCCAACUGAAAUUCUGAUGCUUCAGAAGAAGACUAGCCACGAUGCACGCACCAACAGCAGCUAGCAUAGCACCGAUCUUGCCGAACGAAAGCGCGACUCUUGGGAAGGCAGUUUGAAGAAAAAGCGCAGCAAGUGAAAGUGCCAAGCUAAUCAACAUAGCCGCUGCAAAGAGAUUUAUGAAAAGUGGAGGAAAUGAGGUGGGUCUGCUGAUGAACAGAGCCAGCACUGCCUGGAAAGUAAGCCCAAAAACUAUCUUCCCAAGAUUGUUGCGAGCCUGAGGCUCCCUGGGUAAGCCAUCUGAGGCUCCCUGGAUAGAAGAGAAUUGAUUCAUGUCGAUGGAAACAUGCUGUGGCAUUGUGAAAAGAGAAAGGAAAUCUCUCAAUAUCAAAAAUGGGUUAUGAUGACGACUUUGAGCCUUUUUUAGCUUGGAAAUUUUGCACAAAUUGUAUUAGGGGCAAAUUGUAUUAGGGACAAAUUGUAUUAGGGGUUGAUGAGUUGGCCAGUCCAAGUUCACUUGCCCAAGCUUACUCUUGGUCAGCACCACCACUUGCAACUUGAAAGGAAAAGGAAAAGAAAAAUGCUAAAUUAAAAUUUUAAUUUA